Molecule: microRNA precursor, 84 nt
Filed under: Cajanus cajan (pigeon pea)
Lineage: Eukaryota; Viridiplantae; Streptophyta; Magnoliopsida; Fabales; Fabaceae
Description: miRNA gene-KK1_029942
Source: RNAcentral
UCUAAGAUCGGUUCUUUUGUAACCGAUCUUAAAAGUUGUAUCAGACAUAACUUUUAAGAUCGGUUAUAAAAUACCGAUCUUAAA